This 232-nucleotide ribosomal RNA is filed under the name uncultured bacterium. RNAcentral describes it as "partial 16S ribosomal RNA". It matches the Rfam family "Bacterial small subunit ribosomal RNA", at positions 544 to 775 of the family's 1533-position model. The record is from RNAcentral.
UCCGGAAUUACUGGGCGUAAAAGGCGCGUAGGUGGGCGCUUAAGUCAGGUGUGAAAACUCCGGGCUCAACCUGGAGACUGCACUUGAAACUGGGUGGCUUGAGGGCAGGAGAGGAAAGUGGAAUUCCUAGUGUAGCGGUGAAAUGCGUAGAUAUUAGGAGGAACACCAGUGGCGAAGGCGACUUUCUGGACUGUACCUGACGCUGAGGCGCGAAAGCGUUGGUAGCGAACGG